UGCAGCCUGGGUGAUGGGAGCGAGACCCCAUCUCAAGAAAAAUAAUAAUAAUAAUAAUAGCCAUAUGGCUCCUCAACCAACCCAGGCUUCAACAGAAUGGUGGGACUUGCCCACCAUGGAGGGUUCCUUUCUCAGGCCUGGGCCCUUUUAGCCAGUCCAGCCUGGCCUUCUGCCACAUUCACCCUGGGGCUAUGAGGAGGCCUUCAAGAUGGGAGCCAUGUCUAUGUGGCCCCUUCCCUAGAGCAACAACAGGCACCAGUCUGCCGUUAGCAUCCUGUAGCCACCUGGGGGGCUCUUCUGACGACAAACAUUUGCCCCUGGACUGCCCUUCGUGGCCUCUAGUCCUCUCUCCAGGGACCCCUGCACUGGGAGGCAGGACAACUUCCUUUCAUGUCCCCAAGGCCACAUGCCAUGCCCCACUGACAUUUGUGGCACUCCCCAGUCUGAUUCCAACCUCCUCCAGUCCUAUUGUGCCCCCUACUCUGACAUCAGGCAAAGCCACUCACCGCGUCUUCUGAUGGGGUACUGUCUGCCCAGCAUGCCCUUACCCCCUCCCCACCCCCAGGCAGAACAGCAGAGGCAGAGGAUGUGGGCAGGAGAGCUUAUGUUUGCACAGUUGAGAGCAGCCUGUGUGUCUGGAACCCAGAAAGUAAGGGAAGCACCUGGUGUAUGAGGGGAAGCUGAAGAGGCCAUAGGAGGGACUUCUGUCAUGGUUCCAAGAGCAAAGGAUGGAAGAUGUCAUUUGUAGGGAUUUAGUCAGCGAGUGGUGAUCACAUCUGCUCUAUAAAAAGCUCUCUAUGGGAAGCAAUAGAGGGGGCAGGGAGACUCAGGAAGUGGCAAUUGCAGUUGUCCAGGUGGGAGAGGGUUAUCCACACUGGAGAGGUCUUAGAGCCCCUCGUCCAGGAACCUCUCUCUGACCCUCUACCCCACCACAGACUCAUUGGGAGGAUACACCAAGUGGUCAUCAUAAGGUACAAUCAGAGGAUCCCAGAGAUGCCUGGCCCAGCUGAAGACAAACUUGAGCACUCAUGAAAAUAGGAACUGGAUUACUCAACUGUACCCCCAGAUCCUGGCCCAAGGCCUGAACAGCCUGCAGUCUGAACACUUCGUACCCAGCAGCCCAUGCGUCUGUGCUGACAUCCGGUGACUGUCCACCACGUAGAAGCCUAGAAAGUCACGGUGGACAGGAUGUUUCUUCCACACCUGGUGUAGGACGACCACGAAGGUAACCCCAUCUCCAAAGGAGACCACCAUGUUCUUCCUGUUGAUCAUCAUGGACAGCCUACGAGAGGAAGCCAGAAAGUGGCUGUGGGGCCCAGUGGCCGUGACACUGGGCAUCUGACUCAAGGGCGUUUUGGUGGGGCCUCCCCUGUACAUGGCACCCGAGGGCCCACAGACUCCAGAAACUAUCUCAGGGGCGUUGGAAAGAGGAUGCCUCAUGCA
Molecule: long non-coding RNA, 1443 nt
Organism: Homo sapiens (human)
Lineage: Eukaryota; Metazoa; Chordata; Mammalia; Primates; Hominidae
Exons: 2
Source: RefSeq, a predicted model, not a curated record